Molecule: long non-coding RNA, 497 nt
Filed under: Monodelphis domestica (gray short-tailed opossum)
Lineage: Eukaryota; Metazoa; Chordata; Mammalia; Didelphimorphia; Didelphidae
Description: lncRNA (ENSMODG00000046256.1)
Source: RNAcentral
UUCUGGGGAUUGAAGUCUAAGGUUCAAAAUCUCCAUUUUACAUAUCAUGGUGGACAGCCUUUUUCUUCCCGAGUCUCUUGGAGUUGUCCAGGUUCCUUGCAUUGCUGAUAAAUGUUCAGGCAUCCGCAGUUGGUCCUCAUACAUUAUUGCUAUUAGUAUGGAUAACGUUCUCCUGUUACAGAGUACUCUGAAAAUGAGGCUUUACGAGAACUGGGAAACAGCUAACAAGCAAAUAAAAGCACAAGGAAUGUGUGCGGCAUGCAUGUAGACACGACUAAGAACGCGGUUCCUGUGAACUUGGACAUCCAACUUCAACAAAAGCAGCUAUGUGCCUACCCCCUUGUUGAGCAGACAGAUAUAUGAUUGUGGGAUUUGAGCAGAGAUAACGAGAAAAGGAGGUAAAAUGUGAAAAUGAUUGGCGAAGAAAAAGAAGCUUGAAGUGGAGUGCUGGGGUGGGAUGAAGAAGACCUAAAUAAAAGCUGAGAAAAAGGGAUCCA